AUGGUGAUGCCAUCACAGUGACAUUGUAAGCACGGUGGUACCCAGCACGGUGACAAUGAUGGCACGGCGGUGUCCUCACGGUGAUGCCACCAGUGAUGCUUGAACACGGUGACACCCAGCACGGUGACAGUGUCCACACGGCGGUGCCCGUCCCCCUGCUCUCGUGGCUGUCCCGGCGGUGCCACCACCCAGCAUGGGGUUGUUUCUCCCGGUGACGGUGCCUGUCCCGGUGACGGUGCCCGUCCUUGUCACCACCCGUCCCGGUGGUGCCGGUGCCCAACCCCAGCAUCACCCCGCGGUGGUGCCCGUCCGGUGCCGAUACUGGGCCCGGUGGUACCCGGCCAGGUUGUGACCUGGAUCACUGUCACCCGGCACAACCGUGCCCAGCGUGGUGGCGGUGCCCGGUACGACGGCAGAUGGCGGUGCGGUGACGUCUGGGUGACACCAGUGGUGACACCAGCGGUGCCAUACCGGUGA
This 477-nucleotide long non-coding RNA is filed under the name Anas zonorhyncha (Eastern spot-billed duck). RNAcentral's name for it is "lncRNA (ENSAZOG00000005525.1)". Lineage: Eukaryota; Metazoa; Chordata; Aves; Anseriformes; Anatidae. The record is from RNAcentral.